Molecule: transfer RNA, 68 nt
Filed under: Cynomys ludovicianus (black-tailed prairie dog)
Lineage: Eukaryota; Metazoa; Chordata; Mammalia; Rodentia; Sciuridae
Description: tRNA-Trp
Source: RNAcentral
CAGGAAUUAAGUAUUAAGUACUUGCUUAGGACUUUGAAGGUCCUUGGUCUGGGUUAACCUAAAUUCCU